CGGGAGGUAGUGGGGUGACAGUACCUCCUGGUCUCCACCACGCAUCAGAGUCCUCGCAGCCAGGAUGGCCCCAUGGUGCAGAAAUCAUGUCCAGGUUGCACAGCAAGGGCUCAGACUUACUGUGGUAUCCUCUCUGUGCUUUUCAUCUUUGCGUUUGGAGGGAGCUUCAGGAGCCCUGUAGGAUGCCCCCCAAUUUGGAUUUGUCUGUUGUUUUCACUGAUGGACAGGGGCUGGGGGUUUUGGAGGAGCCCACAGAGCUGAAGAGUCAUCUCAUCACAUCAUGUCAAAGGAGCAGUCGUGGCGCCGUGGCUGCCUUGGGGGACGCUGUCCUAAGGGCUGGGCGGCCUGGUGACCUAUGGUGGGGGCUCAUGAACUGGCCGGAGCCGGCAAGCACCCCACAUUUCAAGCUGUGCUGCCAUUUCAUCCUGAUGAUUUGAGGGGGAGCAGGUCAUUUCCCUGCCCAGGCUCUGGACUGAUCGGCUCCAUGCAAUUCUCCUAUACCUUGAGCCCCUCAGAUUCUUGAAAUCAAUGGAAGAUUCUCCUGGUGUCUCUGAGUCCUCCUGGCCAGGCCACAACUAUUUCCUCAACAAGUGGGUAUCUGCAUCAUCACCGCCUUUGGGUCACGCUUUUCUCUUCUCCAAAAAAGGUCACAGGGUCUGGUGACACAUGUGUCCGUUGGAGAACCACUGACCAGAAUGACGUCCAGCAGAGCUCCUUCCAGGGGAGGGGCAGCUAAGUGGCUUCCAAAAUGUCUCUGAGCUUCAGAAAAACAACACCAAAGGGAUUGACGCCAUGCCUGGGUCAUCACGUUCUUCCCAAGUGUGGCUGAGUCACAGCGGAGCUUCUGUGCCCCUGCACUCAACCUGCUGUCCACGCAGAUGCGGGCGCCACCUCCACCCCAGGGAAGGACUGUUUUUGUGCUUGCUGGCCAGCCGUGUGCCUUCCGAAGGGUCAUACGAACCUGAGCGGCACAGUGAAGGAAAAAUAGCCGGUGGGAUGACAAAUGGGUUUGAUUUCAAAGAAGGCUGUUUCCAGACGGAGGAAGGGCGGGCUUCCUGCUCGCUGGCUGGGCCUCCGAGUGCUGAGUCAUGACAGCUAGGCCCCUCGGAUUGCACAACCAGCCUCUGAGUUUACUUCAAUCAUGUCCUUUCCAAGAAAAGGCAUAAACUUGACCUAGCAACGUGCCUUCUGUGUGUUCAACACAAAGCUGAUUCUGUUCAAAACAUGAGAGUAAACAGCCUUGCAAGUGUUACAGGUUGGCUUUCCUAAGAAUUCCUUGGAUUUUGGAAUUUGUUUAUAUUAUGGUUUCAUCAGCUUCAAAUACUGUAACCCAAACAAUUAACUGCCUCAGGGUGCAUUUAUUAAGCACCCAGUUGUCACCUCCCCUGCAUCUCAGGCAAACACCUAAUAUGUACAGAUUUUUAGCUGAAGGAUAGUUGAUACACAAUAUUACGCUGGCCUGAGUCCCCUCUCUGAGAAGCCCAGAUGAGGGUCACUGACAAUCGGAUGGCAGGGAUUCCUGUGUCUGACGCUCCCGUGGAUCCCUGGCCAUCACUGGCUCCCACAGCCCCUGGUGGCAUAUUUCUGGCCGCUUGGUCUCUGGAAUGAUGUCCCCCAGCCCCCCAGGGCUCUCCAGGCACCAUCUUCCCACCUCGCACCCUCUGAGACUCAGCCCAGCGGACAGGUCUGCCUGCAGCCCCAGCUGACAUCAUAGGAAGUAGAGCAGAAGAUUUCAUUAAAACACCGACAGAACAGGUGUAGUGGGUUGGAUGUUGGUCCCCAAAAAGGUCCGUCCACACUCUAAUCCCUAGUAGCUAUGAAUAUAACUUAAAAAUUUUUUUUUAAAAAUUAAAAGGAGUCUUUAUAGGCAGGGAUCCCAAGACAAGGAGAACAUCCCAGUUUCCCUGGUAGGCCCUUAACCCAGGGACAAGAGUCCUUAUAGGAGACACGGAGAGGGGAGACAAGGGGCGGGGGAGGGCGGGCACGGACUGCAGGGGUGCGGCCACCAGCCUAGGAACGCCUGGGCCAACAGCAGCUGCAACCGGCUCCCCCGGGGCCUCUGGGUGUGGCCCUGCAGACAGACACCUUCAUCUCCAGCCCCCAGGACCGUGAGGGUUUCUGCUGCUUCCAGCCCCCUCUUUGUGAUCAUUGGCUGUGGCAGCGCCAGGACACUUAUGCAACAGGAAGCCCCCCGUGGGGGAGCCCACAUGCAGAGCCUGGACUCUUGAUGGUGCAGCUGAGACAGGGCCGCGGGGCAGAGCCCGGACGCCUCCUCCUUCCACCCGCACCGCCCUUGCAGCCAGGCCCGGGCCUCCGCAGCAGAUGCCCACAUUCAGCCUUGGUCUGCAGGCUGCUGUCCCAGAAGGCCCUGCUCGCUCAGUCCUGCUCACGGACAGACCCCGGUUGGGGACGACUGCUGAGCUGACCUGCCUGCUGUCCGUCGCCCCGACACAGGUCACCUGUCUCUGUUCCCCACCGGCUACCGUGCUCCUCAGCUUCCCUGUGUGGUGGCUGCCCUCCUACCUGUCUGGGGCACGUCUCUGCCUGGUCCCCCAGCUGUUCUGUCCACGACCCCAGACUGCCACGAGUGGCCAGAUGCUGGCUCAGGCCCACUCCUGAUCGGUUGUCUCCUUGACUACACACCGCAUCACAUGGCCCUGGACAGAGACUUUCUGUACUUUCUCCUUGAAAUACACUUUGUGAGCCCUUUGCCAUCUGGAUUUUCAGAAUGAUUGGAGCCAUUUCGGAUGUUCACGGAGAGGGUCCCCAUGGUUUUUUCUCAUCUCCCUUGUGUGUGGGUUGACUAGGAGGCCUGGGGAGUGUUUCACAGCGUAGGCUGAUGCCAAUUUUCCCUUUCUCACAGAAAGGUUUCAGCACAUCAAUACUGCUACUAAUAUAUUAUUAACAUUGUUCUGAGAAUAAAAGUUCUAAAUUUACUCUAACUUUCACUGUGACUAUUAGUGUGUACAGAUAUAAUGUCUAGAGAGACACUGAUCAUGAAUAUUGUCACUAUUUUAUCUCUUAACCCAUGGAGUUUGACAUUCCCUGAAUUUAACUCUGCUUUUAAUAAGACCAUCCCACAUAGAACAAAUAUUUCUAAAGAACUAUAAAGAGGGAGGUAAGUCAUGACUUCACAAGGGGCCAGAUAACCUGGACUGCCUUUUUUUUUUUUUUGUCUUCGCAUCAUCUCCUAUUAUGACCAUUAAUUGAGAAGAGGGUCCUGGGGUUCCCACUUGCCCUGCUUCUUUGUAAUGGUGUAUGAAGUCUAGUUUUUGGCAGGAUUAAUCAGCUUUAGCCUAACCGUGCCCCUACUGUCCACAGACCAAUGAGGAUUCUUUUCAUUCCACCCAGAAAUUAAUCUUCUGGUUUUCUGCACACAUGAAAUGCGUUCCCUUCAUCUCCUUCCCAUCCAUCACGGUGGAAUGCUCCAGUCACGGGCUCUGAUGGGAAAGGUCAGAUGGGACACCUGGUGGACAUACUCCUUUUGUCAAAUAGUAACCACAAAGAAAAUAAUUGACAGAACACAGACAACAAUUCAUUACUAAUUAUAAAACGCAGUCCUGUUGGCUUCAGAGUAGAGUUCAUGCUCAGAAUAUUUGUGAACUAUGUAAUAGUUAAAAAAAAGUUUAUGUUUAUGUGUUGAACAUAGUCUGUCUGUUCUGUGAGACUUCAGAAUCAUAAGCCUUCAAGGAGACGCUACGAAAGACCAGAAAUAAUUUUACUUUGCGUUGUUGGGUAGCUUCACUCUCAAAAUAAAACCUUCCCAGUCAUGAUGUCAUUUAAUUACUAAUUAAAGCAGUUAUA
This is a long non-coding RNA of Manis pentadactyla (Chinese pangolin), 3804 nucleotides long. RefSeq lists it as uncharacterized. The transcript is spliced from 3 exons. Lineage: Eukaryota; Metazoa; Chordata; Mammalia; Pholidota; Manidae. The record is from RefSeq and is a predicted model, not a curated record.